UAAUGACAUUCUUUUAGAAGAGAAGAGACCGCGGGAAAAUGAUGUCACUUCCUGUUUGGCGAACGUGUGUGGUGAAGGGUUGGCGCGGAGCUGGUGGAAGUAUGCUAGGAGAACAUUUUAAAACGCUGUCUACAAGAACAUUGGGAAUUGCUCAUUAACUGUACAUGUCAUUAUAAGUUACCCGCGUAUUAGCAUGGGUGUCAGAUCCUGAAGUCCGCUCUGUGGUGUUUGGCUCAUCUUACAGUUAUAUAUCCGCCUGUUGUCGUUAGCUCACAGCUGACUCAAAUGGAUUUAAUGGAUGAACUUUAUGGAGAUCUUGAUGACAAGCCUUUUGGUGCUCUGCAUCACAUUGAGGAUUCGGUAUACUCUGGCCUGGAAAACAGCCCUAAGAUUGAUGGGCACAGAGGUGGGUUUCAUUAAUGAGUCUUGAAUUGGUUACAGCACAUAGUUUUUAU
Molecule: long non-coding RNA, 455 nt
Filed under: Sinocyclocheilus grahami
Lineage: Eukaryota; Metazoa; Chordata; Actinopteri; Cypriniformes; Cyprinidae
Description: lncRNA (ENSSGRG00000039186.1)
Source: RNAcentral